Molecule: ribosomal RNA, 253 nt
Filed under: uncultured bacterium
Lineage: Bacteria
Description: partial 16S ribosomal RNA
Rfam family: Bacterial small subunit ribosomal RNA
Source: RNAcentral
UACGUAGGGGGCAAGCGUUAUCCGGAUUUACUGGGUGUAAAGGGAGCGUAGACGGCAGUGCAAGCCUGAAGUGAAAGGCAAGGGCUCAACCCUUGGACUGCUUUGGAAACUGUGCUGCUGGAGUGUCGGAGAGGCAAGUGGAAUUCCUAGUGUAGCGGUGAAAUGCGUAGAUAUUAGGAGGAACACCAGUGGCGAAGGCGGCUUGCUGGACGAUGACUGACGUUGAGGCUCGAAAGCGUGGGGAGCAAACAGG